This 261-nucleotide ribosomal RNA is filed under the name uncultured bacterium. Its description in RNAcentral is "partial 16S ribosomal RNA". It matches the Rfam family "Bacterial small subunit ribosomal RNA", at positions 793 to 1055 of the family's 1533-position model. The record is from RNAcentral.
GUCCACGCGGUAAACGAUGAAUGCUAGGUGUCGGGAGCAAAGCUCUUCGGUGCCGCCGCAAACGCAUUAAGCAUUCCACCUGGGGAGUACGUUCGCAAGAAUGAAACUCAAAGGAAUUGACGGGGGCCCGCACAAGCAGCGGAGCAUGUUGUUUAAUUCGAUGCAACGCGAAGAACCUUACCAUGUCUUGACAUCGAGGUAAACUUGUAGAAAUACAGGGUGGAUUCGUCCGACCGAAGACAGGUGGUGCAUGGUUGUCGU